Molecule: small nucleolar RNA, 154 nt
Organism: Aotus nancymaae (Ma's night monkey)
Lineage: Eukaryota; Metazoa; Chordata; Mammalia; Primates; Aotidae
Source: Ensembl
UCUGUACAUUGUUAGAGCUUAGAGUUGAGGCUACUGACUAGCUGAUGAACUCGCAAGUGUAGGUAGUGUGCCUCAUGAGAGGCAAGUUUUUCGCUAACACCGUGAGGGUCUCUGGCCUGAUGAGUGAAGUUUGAUAGUAAUUCUUGCUACAGUA